CACACACACAGUGUCACCUAUGUCACGAGUUUUGCUUGUCAGCAACUUGAGGUGCAGUUUCCCAGAAACCCCUGCACCUGUCACCUUGAAGCCUGGCAGGCGUCAUGCUCUCCAUAGAGCCUACCAUCCCUACACGUUUCAUCCAAA
Long non-coding RNA from Gavialis gangeticus (Gharial), 147 nucleotides. RefSeq lists it as uncharacterized. The transcript has 2 exons. NCBI's taxonomy places the organism in Eukaryota, Metazoa, Chordata, Crocodylia, Gavialidae. The record is from RefSeq and is a predicted model, not a curated record.